This is a non-coding RNA of Myodes glareolus (Bank vole), 514 nucleotides long. Lineage: Eukaryota; Metazoa; Chordata; Mammalia; Rodentia; Cricetidae. The record is from RefSeq and is a predicted model, not a curated record.
CUCUGCUUAUAAACAUGUCCCUCUCACCUGUCUGGGGAACUGGACACAGUCAUUUUUAGGAACUGUGAAAUGGAAUUGAGUAGAUUUGCAGGUCAACUUGGCAGCUGCCAAGUGCCCAAAGCGGAUCUUUGGAAAUAAAGAACCUCGGCCGCAGCGGAAAAGAAAUGGAAGCCUGCUGGUUUUCACCUCUGUGGAAGACACCACACCUGUAAAACUAUAUACAAAAAGAACAAUUAUCAGGAUCAUCUUUCCAACCACUUUUCGGUGGGACACAUGACAACCCCGAGUGACUUAAACUCCCUUGCAGCUAGAUGUGGCCAUGUGACUCGAGUUCUAGCCUCUAGGCAUCAAUGGACGGGUCAUGUGACAGCUGGACCUGUCUAUCGGAGACAAGAGUCUCAGCCACCAGCCUUUUGACAGAUGAGUCCCCACAGCAAGGCCCAGAAUCGCUACUCAUCACAUCUUGGGGCCAUAGGAACCAAAGGUAGAGUUUGAAGUGAGAGACCACCAAGGA